ACGCUCGACACUACGGGAGCAGCAGUAGGGAAUCUUCCACAAUGGACGCAAGUCUGAUGGAGCAACGCCGCGUGAGUGAAGAAGGUUUUCGGAUCGUAAAGCUCUGUUGUUGGUGAAGAAGGAUAGAGGUAGUAACUGGCCUUUAUUUGACGGUAAUCAACCAGAAAGUCACGGCUAACUACGUGUCAGCAGCCGCGGUAAUCUGAGCGGGCUGGCAAGGC
RNAcentral lists this ribosomal RNA (221 nucleotides) under uncultured bacterium. RNAcentral's name for it is "partial 16S ribosomal RNA". It matches the Rfam family "Bacterial small subunit ribosomal RNA", at positions 326 to 539 of the family's 1533-position model. The record is from RNAcentral.